ACGCAUUUGUGCCAAGCUCAGGAUGCUGUUGGCCAGCAUGCUUGAUUGGCAGACAACCUGACAUGCAUUAAUGCUAGGCUAGCCUUCCAAUUCUUUGGACAGACACGCCUCCUUUUUGGGCAUGUUCGUCCCAUUCAGGACUUCUAGUUACAUGAUCCUUGUCAGUGGCCCACCCCUUUACCCCGUCCAUAGACUUCCUGCUUCACUAGAC
Molecule: non-coding RNA, 211 nt
Organism: Pelobates cultripes (western spadefoot toad)
Lineage: Eukaryota; Metazoa; Chordata; Amphibia; Anura; Pelobatidae
Source: the annotation of a GenBank genome assembly